GCUGCAGCAGCACACACUAACAGUGGACUAAUGCAGCGAAGAUCAGCACAGCCCUGUGCAAGGAUGGCAUGAAAACGUGAAGCAUUUCAUGUGUUU
Molecule: small nuclear RNA, 96 nt
Organism: Ochotona princeps (American pika)
Lineage: Eukaryota; Metazoa; Chordata; Mammalia; Lagomorpha; Ochotonidae
Source: Ensembl